Molecule: transfer RNA, 55 nt
Filed under: Schistocephalus solidus
Lineage: Eukaryota; Metazoa; Platyhelminthes; Cestoda; Diphyllobothriidea; Diphyllobothriidae
Rfam family: tRNA
About the family: Transfer RNA (tRNA) molecules are approximately 80 nucleotides in length.
Source: Rfam by way of RNAcentral
CAGCCCGUGGCUCAAUGGUAGAGCGUUCGACUCAAAUACCAAAGGUCGCGGGUUC